Molecule: ribosomal RNA, 253 nt
Filed under: uncultured bacterium
Lineage: Bacteria
Description: partial 16S ribosomal RNA
Rfam family: Bacterial small subunit ribosomal RNA
Source: RNAcentral
UACGUAGGGGGCAAGCGUUGUCCGGAGUUACUGGGCGUAAAGCGCACGCAGGCGGUCUCUUAAGUUUGGAGUGACAGUUGGUGGCUUAACUGCCAAAGUGCUUCGAAAACUGAGAGACUUGAGGGCUUCAGAGGGACACGGAAUUCCGGGUGGAGUGGUGAAAUGCGUAGAGAUCCGGAGGAACACCAAAGGCGAAGGCAGUGUCCUGGAGAGUACCUGACGCUCAGGUGCGAAAGCCAGGGGAGCGAACGGG